CACGUAGGCGGUCUUUUAAGUCAGAGGUGAAAGCCCGGGGCUCAACUCCGGAAUUGCCUUUGAAACUGGAAGACUUGAACACGGGAGAGGUGAGUGGAAUUCCGAGUGUAGAGGUGAAAUUCGUAGAUAUUCGGAGGAACACCAGUGGCGAAGGCGGCUCACUGGCUCGAUACUGACGCUGAGGUGCGAAAGCGUGGGGAGCAAACAGGAUUAGAUACCCCAGUA
This 225-nucleotide ribosomal RNA is filed under the name uncultured Sandaracinobacter sp. RNAcentral's name for it is "partial 16S ribosomal RNA". It matches the Rfam family "Bacterial small subunit ribosomal RNA", at positions 568 to 792 of the family's 1533-position model. Lineage: Bacteria; Pseudomonadati; Pseudomonadota; Alphaproteobacteria; Sphingomonadales; Sphingosinicellaceae. The record is from RNAcentral.